Molecule: ribosomal RNA, 447 nt
Filed under: uncultured bacterium
Lineage: Bacteria
Description: partial 16S ribosomal RNA
Rfam family: Bacterial small subunit ribosomal RNA
Source: RNAcentral
UGCCAGACUCCUACGGGAGGCAGCAGUGGGGAAUAUUGCACAAUGGGGGAAACCCUGAUGCAGCGACGCCGCGUGGGCGAAGAAGUACCUCGGUAUGUAAAGCUCUAUCAGCAGGGAAGAAGAUGACGGUACCUGACCAAGAAGCUCCGGCUAAAUACGUGCCAGCAGCCGCGGUAAUACGUAGGGGGCAAGCGUUAUCCGGAUUUACUGGGUGUAAAGGGGGCGCAGACGGCGAUGCAAGCCAGGAGUGAAAGCCCGGGGCCCAGCCCCGGGACUGCUCUUGGAACUGCGUGGCUGGAGUGCAGGAGGGGCAGGCGGAAUUCCUGGUGUAGCGGUGAAAUGCUUAGAUAUCAUGAAGAACUCCGAUCGCGAAGGCAAGUGUCCGGGGUGCAACUGACGCUGAGGCUCGAAAGCGUGGGGAGCAAACAGGAUUAGAUACCCCAGUAA